RNAcentral lists this ribosomal RNA (368 nucleotides) under uncultured bacterium. RNAcentral's name for it is "partial 16S ribosomal RNA". It matches the Rfam family "Bacterial small subunit ribosomal RNA", at positions 338 to 723 of the family's 1533-position model. The record is from RNAcentral.
CCUACGGGAUGCAGCAGUAGGGAAUCUUUCACAAUGGGCGAAAGCCUGAUGGAGCAACGCCGCGUUCAGGAUGAAGGCCUUCGGGUUGUAAACUGCUUUUAUAAGCGAGAAAUAUGAUGGUAACUUAUGAAUAAGCACCGGCUAACUCCGUGCCAGCAGCCGCGGUAAUACGGAGGGUGCAUGCGUUACUCGGAAUCACUGGGCGUAAAGAGCGCGUAGGCGGGAUAGCAAGUCAGAUGUGAAAUCCUAUGGCUUAAGCAUAGAACUGCCUUUGAAACUGUUAUUCUAGAGUAUGGGAGAGGUAGGUGGAAUUCGUGGUGUAGGGGUAAAAUACGGAGAGAUCAAGCGGAAUACUCAUUGCGAAGGCG